This 465-nucleotide ribosomal RNA is filed under the name uncultured bacterium. RNAcentral's name for it is "partial 16S ribosomal RNA". It matches the Rfam family "Bacterial small subunit ribosomal RNA", at positions 28 to 507 of the family's 1533-position model. The record is from RNAcentral.
GACGAACGCUGGCGGCGUGCUUAACACAUGCAAGUCGAACGGAAAGGCCCCUUUGGGGGUACUCGAGUGGCGAACGGGUGAGUAACACGUGAGUAACCUGCCCUUGACUUCGGGAUAACUUCAGGAAACUGGGGCUAAUACCGGAUAGGAAUCCUUGCUGCAUGGUGGGGGUUGGAAAGCUUCGGCGGUUUUGGAUGGACUCGCGGCUUAUCAGCUUGUUGGUGGGGUAGUGGCUUACCAAGGCUUUGACGGGUAGCCGGCCUGAGAGGGCGACCGGCCACAUUGGGACUGAGAUACGGCCCAGACUCCUACGGGGGGCAGCGGUGGGGAAUAUUGCACAAUGGGCGGAAGCCUGAUGCAGCAACGCCGCGUGCGGGAUGACGGCCUUCGGGUUGUAAACCGCUUUCAGCAGGGGCGAAGCUUGUGGUGACGGUACCUGCAGAAGAAGCACCGGCUAACUACGUG